GUCCAGAUGUGGUCACGCAGACUAUUAGAGGAUGUGACGAGGAAGGAGAACAAACACCAUUCAUGUUUCGUGAAUGGAUUAUAAAUUCAUAACUUUCCAAAAAAAACACAUGUCUUUGUGUCAUGUGGGAGUUGCUCAGCAGUCUAUUGGUCAUAGUUUUCCUAUUUGAAGCACUACGUUGUUAUAAUCACUUCUGUUGUAACCGUCACCUCUGACAUUUCCAAAAACCUGUUCCGACUCCGAGUUUGUCUACUUUUUGUUUCUGCAGGAUGUGUCACAGCGGUGUCCCACACUGAUACCUCUGUUGUAUUUCAGAUGAGAUGCAAAGUUACUUCCCCACAGUCAAACUCUCCUAAUGAUCUGCGCAAACUCAGCUGCACAUGCAGGCCAGCUGAAACGAGUCGGUUAAACAAAAAACUCGUUAUCUUCAAGUAAUAUCUGACAACCGGAGCAGGCUGGAUGCAGUGUGAGGGUUUUCUUAAGAUUGCAGAUCAGUUUCAGAAAACUGAAAGCGACAACAGGAAACGAGAGAAAGAGCGCCACUGACACAACUGAAAGCUGGCCUGCGUCCAUGAAGCUUCGUCCCCUCCUUGUGGUCUGUGAACUGAGGCGAUGGAGAGCCCGUCGUCCAUAGUGAGGCGGCGAGCCUGGAUCAACAGCAGCCGACAGUGGUCCAAUUUGGAGCUGGACCCCGAGGGGCCGCGGUGCGACCCCCCCUCUGCCUCUAUAGCAGACGACGAUGUCUUUUCUGACGGAUGCUUCACUGGAAAGAUUGAGAACUGGCUCCUGGGUUGUGGGUGAGUCGGCUCGCUUUACUACUCUUGUUUUCUUUUAAUUUUUUUAAUUUGUCUUGUCUUUUUUAGCUCAGGCUCUGAAGGAUAUGGUUUCAGUCAUUGGAAACCGGUUGAACAAACAGUAAAGUAGAAAGUGGAAACUCUCUGAGGUCAGGUGUUCCAGGAAGAUGGCGUGGUAAGGUAGCCACAGUAUUGUUUUUGCCACAAUCCCCUUAAAAGAUGUAUUUUUUACCAGUCCACUUGAAAAAAAAACAAGCUUAUUAUUUAUUUAACACCACACUGUUAGAGUGCUCUGAAUGUAGAUCUACCAGUGAUCAGAUGUCUUUCAAGGCCAAGACAUGUUGCUGACAACAGUUUACAGCAAUGUUGAGAAUGGUAAACAUGUCAACAAGUCCUCGAGGCUGUUUCACCAAGAAAACACACGACUUAAGCCCUUUUUGACUUUUUCAAAACUUCCAUUUUGGUUGGAGUAAGAUUAUUAUAUAACCAGAAGGAAAUAACAGUUCCUUCUUCCUGUUCUGAAACUGGAGGAAGGAGAUCAGCACACACAUUCAGACGCUAUUUAAUGUCUUUUAUUUCAGUCACUGAGAAGGAAGCUGGCAGUUGGGGAUGUAACACAGCGUGUCAGCCUCUAAAAGGCUACUAACACUAAAGAACAAAGUAAAAGGAGGGGUGUGAGGGUUAAUGCAUUCUGAGAACUCAACAUGAAAAUGACCAGAUCAGCUUGGAGGUGUUAAACUUAAUGCUGCUCAGCAUGUCAACUUUUCUACAAGAGGAAGUUGACACACAUCAGCAGCUUGUCGAGAGCUGAACAGGGAGUCGAUGUCACAAGCUCGCACUGUAGCUAGGCUGCUAUCUCGCUACAGAUGAGGCCGUCUACGCAUAUGCAAGGACUUAUUUGACAGAAGAAGCAUGCAAAGAACACUGUGUGUAUUUUCGCAUUAACAUUGGGAUAUCAUUUACAGGACGGAGGCCUGCUCAGAGAAGACCGGUCGGCUGAGUUUCGGUGAGUAUGAACUGGAACAAAGUCAUGAUUAACAAUGUGUCCUUUACAAACAAAACUAACACUUUUAUUUAGUCUUAAACUCUGUCCACACUCGCACAUGCACACACGCACACGCACAUACACACACUCAGUGUUACUGCAAUAAAAACAUACUCAUAGUAAAAGUCCUGCUUUGAAAAUGUCACUUAAAAGUACUAUCAUCAAAGUGUAAAGUAAUACAGCCUGUCAGUGUUAUAUGCUAACAUUGUAUUAUUAUUAUUAUUGUUAUUAUUAUUAUUAUUAUUAGCAUUUUACCGUUGAAGCUGGUCAAGGUGGAGCGUAAUGAUUUAAUGAUUUUAUAUAGGCCUACUGUCGGGUUGUUUAACUAAGCUUGUAUGUUUUGUAUUUAAAAUUGUAUCUGGACUGUAGUGGAGUAGAAGUAUAUAAAGUAACAUUAAAGGUAAAUACAAGUAUUUCAAAUCUAUACUUAAGUAAGAGUAAUUGAGUAAUAUAGUGACUUUCCACUAAUGACACAUACAAGCCUUCAGUUCUUCAGUCAAUCAUGAAGACAUAAUGAAGACAUCACGUCAAACGAAAUGUGAAAUGACUUAAAGCAUCAACUGUGCGUCUUUUCAGAGUCUGUGCUGAAAGCCAGCAAGUUGGACGAUGAGCUCAGUCUUGGUGCUGAUGGUAAGUAAAGAGAGACACACACACACACACACACACACACACACACACACACACACACACACACACACACACACACACACACACACACACACACACACACACACACUUCUUUUUUUCUACUCAAGCUUACGUUUGUUCUAUUUGAAAUAGUGACUCCUUUGUACUGAGUCAGAGAAAUGUCCAAUGUUACGCAGUAGUACUGUACCUCAGCCAAGGAGGAUAUCUUUUGAGAAGGGGAAGUAUAGUUGUCAAAAGUCGCCGAUUGAUAAUCUAUUUCUUGUUUUUAUAUGAAUUGUAACCACUUAUACACAUACAGUAUUAACAUUAGCAAACAAUUAUAACUUUUCAAGGUCAAACCACUAAACAAUGUAAGUAGUAAGGUGUAACAGCAGAGUACAGAAUUGCAUAAUGCCUUCAAUUUGUCACUUAGUGCCUUUCAGUUUAAGAUAUAUCUAGUGGUAACAAAAAACAAACAAUACCUGUAACAUGACACCCCUAUGUACUAAACAUGACAUUUAAAUCCAUCAUUUAGAUUUGAAUCCCACAUUCAAAUGCACGUCAACUUAUUCCUUAUUUAUUUUAAAAUGAGUUCUUUUUUUGUUUUCAGCUUCUUUGUUAAAUGUUGGAGAGAUUACAUCUAAAGCUGGGUGAGUAGCAAAUGUAAUCUCACAGUGGCAGUAACAAUGAACUAACACGAAACGAGGAAUGUCAAGCUAUUGGUGAAUAUUAGUUCAUAUGAAUCCAUGUUGCUUUAAUCAUUAUACUGACAGAGGUCAUUCUGUAUUUAAAAAAAAACAACUCAAUUCCCUUUUUUUCCCACACAAUGAGCUACACUUCCAGUCCUACACACAUGUUUAUCUCCCCCACCCCACCACACUUACAGCCGAGUCUCUGCGAUGAUAUUUGUAGAGUCUAGGUUACACCCCUGCAUGCUGAGGCUGUUUCUAUUGAAAUUAUUCAGAGGUGUAAAUGAGAUGGUGCUAAUUUAUCACUAAAAUAUGGUCCAUUAUACGGACACUUG
This 3490-nucleotide long non-coding RNA is filed under the name Cottoperca gobio. RNAcentral describes it as "lncRNA (ENSCGOG00000003487.1)". The record is from RNAcentral. Lineage: Eukaryota; Metazoa; Chordata; Actinopteri; Perciformes; Bovichtidae.